CGGGGAGGAAGGUGGGGAUGACGUCAAGUCCUCAUGGCCUUUAUGUCCAGGGCNACACACGUGCUACAAUGGUCGGUACAAACCGUCGCAAACCCGUGAGGGGGAGCUAAUCGGAAAAANCCGACCUCAGUUCGGAUUGGAGUCUNCAACUCGACUCCAUGAAGCUGGAAUCGCUAGUAAUCGCGAAUCAGAACGCCGCGGUGAAUACGUUCCCGGGCCUUGUACACACCGCCCGUCACAUCACGAAAGUGGGCUGUACUAGAAGCCGGUGGGCUAACCGCAAGGAAGCAGCCGUCCAAGGUAUAACUCAUGAUUGGGGUGAAGUCGUAACAAGGUAACUUCAGUCAGUCGAAUCCCGCG
RNAcentral lists this ribosomal RNA (360 nucleotides) under unidentified eubacterium 80R6. RNAcentral's name for it is "bacterial SSU rRNA". It matches the Rfam family "Bacterial small subunit ribosomal RNA", at positions 1162 to 1533 of the family's 1533-position model. The record is from RNAcentral.